GACGAACGCUGGCGGCGUGCUUAACACAUGCAAGUCGAACGGAAAGGCCCUGCUUUUGUGGGGUGCUCGAGUGGCGAACGGGUGAGUAACACGUGAGUAACCUGCCCUUGACUUUGGGAUAACUUCAGGAAACUGGGGCUAAUACCGGAUAGGAGCUCCUGCUGCAUGGUGGGGGUUGGAAAGUUUCGGCGGUUGGGGAUGGACUCGCGGCUUAUCAGCUUGUUGGUGGGGUAGUGGCUUACCAAGGCUUUGACGGGUAGCCGGCCUGGGAGGGUGACCGGCCACAUUGGGACUGAGAUACGGCCCAGACUCCUACGGGAGGCAGCAGUGGGGAAUAUUGCACAAUGGGCGAAAGCCUGAUGCAGCAACGCCGCGUGCGGGAUGACGGCCUUCGGGUUGUAAACCGCUUUCGCCUGUGACGAAGCGUGAGUGACGGUAAUGGGUAAAGAAGCACCGGCUAACUACGUG
This 468-nucleotide ribosomal RNA is filed under the name uncultured bacterium. RNAcentral's name for it is "partial 16S ribosomal RNA". It matches the Rfam family "Bacterial small subunit ribosomal RNA", at positions 28 to 507 of the family's 1533-position model. The record is from RNAcentral.